GGAGCUUAAGUUUUAAUAUUUUGAGAUUUGCUGUAUAAAGUCUGCAUUUACCCUAAUUAUCCUUAAUUAUUUUGCAGAUUUUGAUAUCAUUAUAUCUCUGCCGUUUUCUUAGUACUCACUUUUUUCUCUUUUAAAUCUUUUUAAACUUAGAACAUGAUCUGGCUGAUCUCAAAGAAUUAUGGAAUUUUAAAGCCAGAAAGGACCUGAUAUGACUGUUCUCGAGUAUUGGCUAAGUGACCUGCCUCAUAAACCUUAAAAGAAUCUGCAGUCCUACGCGAGGAGUAUGAGAAGAUCCACAGUAAAGGAUCCUGAGAGCAGACUUCAAGGAAUUCAAAUCAAGCUGUCCACCAGCCAUCCCACAUUCCAAGCUCCACUAGGAACUGAUAUGCACCUCAGGUUUGGAGUGCCUGCAUUUCUGAUGGACCCUGUUCAAGAAACUGAUUGCCCUGGACAAGACUCCCUAAAACACAGUGGAGAGCUUUAUCCCCGCCUCCAAGCAGAUCCACACUUCAACAUUCCACGGAAUCAAGAUGGACCAGUUUUCUCCCUUUUCUACAACAUCCAAGGGUCGGCCGUGUGCACACGUGUUCUGGGGCUUCUAUGGUCUCUUCCAUCUUCAUGUACCUGGGUGUGGCCUUUUCCUCCUCACCCAGCACAUGUCCUCCCUGACAUUUGCAGGGCAGAGGAGGUGGCCGGUAAGGUGUCUCCCCCUUCAACUGCCAACCUCCCAUCUUCAGCUCAGAAUCUCUCAACCCAGAGCUAUCUAUAG
RNAcentral lists this long non-coding RNA (769 nucleotides) under Pan paniscus (pygmy chimpanzee). RNAcentral's name for it is "lncRNA (ENSPPAG00000045114.1)". The record is from RNAcentral. Lineage: Eukaryota; Metazoa; Chordata; Mammalia; Primates; Hominidae.